Molecule: ribosomal RNA, 158 nt
Filed under: Neophloeospora maculans
Lineage: Eukaryota; Fungi; Ascomycota; Dothideomycetes; Mycosphaerellales; Mycosphaerellaceae
Description: 5.8S ribisomal RNA
Rfam family: 5.8S ribosomal RNA
About the family: 5.8S ribosomal RNA (5.8S rRNA) is a component of the large subunit of the eukaryotic ribosome.
Source: RNAcentral
AAACUUUCAACAACGGAUCUCUUGGUUCUGGCAUCGAUGAAGAACGCAGCGAAAUGCGAUAAGUAAUGUGAAUUGCAGAAUUCAGUGAAUCAUCGAAUCUUUGAACGCACAUUGCGCCCCGUGAUAUUCCGCGGGGCAUGCCUGUUCGAGCGUCAUUU